GGCAUGCCUUACACAUGCAAGUCGAACGGCAGCACGGGUGCUUGCACCUGGUGGCGAGUGGCGAACGGGUGAGUAAUACAUCGGAACAUGUCCUGUAGUGGGGGAUAGCCCGGCGAAAGCCGGAUUAAUACCGCAUACGAUCUACGGAUGAAAGCGGGGGACCUUCGGGCCUCGCGCUAUAGGGUUGGCCGAUGGCUGAUUAGCUAGUUGGUGGGGUAAAGGCCUACCAAGGCGACGAUCAGUAGCUGGUCUGAGAGGACGACCAGCCACACUGGGACUGAGACACGGCCCAGACUCCUACGGGAGGCAGCAGUGGGGAAUUUUGGACAAUGGGCGAAAGCCUGAUCCAGCAAUGCCGCGUGUGUGAAGAAGGCCUUCGGGUUGUAAAGCACUUUUGUCCGGAAAGAAAUCCUUGGCUCUAAUACAGUCGGGGGAUGACGGUACCGGAAGAAUAAGCACCGGCUAACUACGUGCCAGCAGCCGCGGUAAUACGUAGGGUGCGAGCGUUAAUCGGAAUUACUGGGCGUAAAGCGUGCGCAGGCGGUUUGCUAAGACCGAUGUGAAAUCCCCGGGCUCAACCUGGGAACUGCAUUGGUGACUGGCAGGCUAGAGUAUGGCAGAGGGGGGUAGAAUUCCACGUGUAGCAGUGAAAUGCGUAGAGAUGUGGAGGAACACCGAUGGCGAAGGCAGCCCCCUGGGCUAACACUGACGCUCAGGCACGAAAGCGUGGGGAGCAAACAGGA
RNAcentral lists this ribosomal RNA (743 nucleotides) under uncultured bacterium. RNAcentral describes it as "bacterial SSU rRNA". It matches the Rfam family "Bacterial small subunit ribosomal RNA", at positions 41 to 777 of the family's 1533-position model. The record is from RNAcentral.